ACAUCCGGUGCCGGGACCGUGCAUGGCAGGCAGUUUGACUGGGGCGGUCUCCUCCCAAAGAGUAACGGAGGAGUGCGAAGGUAACCUAGGUACGGUCGGAAAUCGUACUGAUAGUGCAAUGGCAUAAGGUUGCUUGACUGCGAGACGGACAGGUCGAGCAGGUGCGAAAGCAGGUCAUAGUGAUCCGGUGGUUCUGAAUGGAAGGGCCAUCGCUCAACGGAUAAAAGGUACUCCGGGGAUAACAGGCUGAUACCGCCCAAGAGUUCACAUCGACGGCGGUGUUUGGCACCUCGAUGUCGGCUCAUCACAUCCUGGG
Molecule: ribosomal RNA, 316 nt
Filed under: Oxyrrhis marina
Lineage: Eukaryota; Dinophyceae; Oxyrrhinales; Oxyrrhinaceae
Description: partial Bacterial large subunit ribosomal RNA
Rfam family: Bacterial large subunit ribosomal RNA
Source: RNAcentral